This 737-nucleotide ribosomal RNA is filed under the name uncultured bacterium. RNAcentral describes it as "bacterial SSU rRNA". It matches the Rfam family "Bacterial small subunit ribosomal RNA", at positions 61 to 793 of the family's 1533-position model. The record is from RNAcentral.
GUCGAACGGCAGCACGGGAGCAAUCCUGGUGGCGAGUGGCGAACGGGUGAGUAAUAUAUCGGAACGUGCCCAAUCGUGGGGGAUAACGCAGCGAAAGCUGUGCUAAUACCGCAUACGAUCUAAGGAUGAAGGCGGGGGGUCGCAAGACCUCGCGCGAGUGGAGCGGCCGAUAUCAGAUUAGCUAGUUGGUGAGGUAAAGGCUCACCAAGGCGACGAUCUGUAGCUGGUCUGAGAGGACGACCAGCCACACUGGAACUGAGACACGGUCCAGACUCCUACGGGAGGCAGCAGUGGGGAAUUUUGGACAGUGGGCGCAAGCCUGAUCCAGCAAUGCCGCGUGCAGGAUGAAGGCCUUCGGGUUGUAAACUGCUUUUGUACGGAGCGAAAAGGUUCUCUCUAAUAAAGAGGGCUCAUGACGGUACCGUAAGAAUAAGCACCGGCUAACUACGUGCCAGCAGCCGCGGUAAUACGUAGGGUGCGAGCGUUAAUCGGAAUUACUGGGCGUAAAGCGUGCGCAGGCGGUGAUGUAAGACAGAUGUGAAAUCCCCGGGCUCAACCUGGGACCUGCAUUUGUGACUGCAUUGCUAGAGUACGGUAGAGGGGGAUGGAAUUCCGCGUGUAGCAGUGAAAUGCGUAGAUAUGCGGAGGAACACCGAUGGCGAAGGCAAUCCCCUGGACCUGUACUGACGCUCAUGCACGAAAGCGUGGGGAGCAAACAGGAUUAGAUACCCUGGUAG